Non-coding RNA from Nematostella vectensis (starlet sea anemone), 72 nucleotides. The record is from Rfam. NCBI's taxonomy places the organism in Eukaryota, Metazoa, Cnidaria, Anthozoa, Actiniaria, Edwardsiidae.
GGGGGUAUAGCUCAGUGGAAGAGCAUCCGACUGCAGAUCGAGAGCUCAGCGGUUCAAACCCGGUUGCCCCAU